GCUAGAAUAUUAAUGAAACAGUAUGUGGGAUAGAAAGGUGGGCUUAAAGUUUAAAUGGAGUGAACACAAGAAGUCUCUGGAGCCGGCUCAACCAGAACUUAACGUCUGAAAUACUCAGCCAAGGGUAGUCCUAAAACUGCCGAAUGAAGGAAUCUUCAAGCCUACUACACAAUCAGUCAAUGACAUACAGAGUUUCAGAGACAACAAGGGACUCUACAUCAGGGAUAAAGUGCCAAUUCAGGUAAAAGAAGAGAGUAGAUCUUAUGUAUGUGAAAUCCAGUAAAGUAUUUGCAGUGCUACAUUGGAAAUUAGCUAAGAUGGAGAAGAUGGGGGUCAUUGUAAGACCAAUACAACUACAACCUGGAUACCCAACACAUG
Long non-coding RNA from Gavialis gangeticus (Gharial), 378 nucleotides. RefSeq lists it as uncharacterized. NCBI's taxonomy places the organism in Eukaryota, Metazoa, Chordata, Crocodylia, Gavialidae. The record is from RefSeq and is a predicted model, not a curated record. The transcript has 4 exons.